GUCUACGGCCAUGCCACCCUGAACAUGCACGAUUCUGUCUGAUCUCGGAAGCUAGGCAGAGUUGGGCCUGGUUAGUACUUGGAUGGGAGAUCACCUAGGAAGACCAGGUGCUGUAGGUG
RNAcentral lists this ribosomal RNA (119 nucleotides) under Pteropus alecto (black flying fox). The record is from RNAcentral. Lineage: Eukaryota; Metazoa; Chordata; Mammalia; Chiroptera; Pteropodidae.